Molecule: ribosomal RNA, 464 nt
Filed under: uncultured Schwartzia sp.
Lineage: Bacteria; Bacillati; Bacillota; Negativicutes; Selenomonadales; Selenomonadaceae
Description: bacterial SSU rRNA
Rfam family: Bacterial small subunit ribosomal RNA
Source: RNAcentral
CCUACGGGAGGCUGCAGUGGGGAAUCUUCCGCAAUGGGCGAAAGCCUGACGGAGCAACGCCGCGUGAGUGAAGAAGGUCUUCGGAUCGUAAAGCUCUGUUGUCGGGGACGAAAGGAAAGGGGAGGCAAUGCCCUUUUCAAGACGGUACCUGACGAGGAAGCCACGGCUAACUACGUGCCAGCAGCCGCGGUAAUACGUAGGCGGCAAGCGUUGUCCGGAAUUAUUGGGCGUAAAGGGAGCGCAGGUGGGACGGUAAGUCCGUCUUAAAAGGCAGGGGCUCAGCCCCUGUAAGGGAUGGAAACUAUCGAUCUUGAGUGCCGGAGAGGAAAGCGGAAUUCCCAGUGUAGCGGUGAAAUGCGUAGAUAUUGGGAAGAACACCAGUGGCGAAGGCGGCUUUCUGGACGGCAACUGACACUGAGGCUCGAAAGCCAGGGGAGCGAACGGGAUUAGAUACCCCAGUAGUC